This 455-nucleotide ribosomal RNA is filed under the name uncultured cyanobacterium. RNAcentral describes it as "bacterial SSU rRNA". It matches the Rfam family "Bacterial small subunit ribosomal RNA", at positions 28 to 524 of the family's 1533-position model. The record is from RNAcentral. Lineage: Bacteria; Bacillati; Cyanobacteriota.
GAUGAACGCUGGCGGUAUGCUUAACACAUGCAAGUCGAACGGAACCUUUCGGGGUUUAGUGGCGGACGGGUGAGUAACGCGUGAGAACAUGCCUUUAGAUUGGGGACAACAGUUGGAAACGACUGCUAAUACCGAAUAUGCCUUUAUCGGUGAAAGAUUAAUUGUCUAAAGAUUGGCUCGCGUCAGAUUAGCUAGUUGGAGUGGUAACGGCACCCCAAGGCGACGAUCUGUACUUGGUCUGAGAGGAUGACCAGGCACACUGGAACUGAGACACGGUCCAGACUCCUACGGGAGGCAGCAGUGGGGAAUUUUCCGCAAUGGGCGCAAGCCUGACGGAGCAAUACCGCGUGAGGGAGGACGGCUUUUGGGUUGCAAACCUCUUUUAUCAGGGAAGAAAAGAUGACGGUACCUGAUGAAUCAGCAUCGGCUAACUCCGUGCCAGCAGCCGCGGUAAU